Molecule: ribosomal RNA, 253 nt
Filed under: Xenorhabdus szentirmaii
Lineage: Bacteria; Pseudomonadati; Pseudomonadota; Gammaproteobacteria; Enterobacterales; Morganellaceae
Description: partial 23S ribosomal RNA
Rfam family: Bacterial large subunit ribosomal RNA
Source: RNAcentral
GCUGAGCUGUGAUGGGGAAGCUCCUUAUGGAGCGAAGUCUUUGAUUCCCCGCUGCCAAGAAAAGCUUCUAGCGAGAUAAAAGGUGCCUGUACCGCAAACCGACACAGGUAGGCGAGGAGAGAAUCCUAAGGUGUGCGAGAGAACUCUGGUUAAGGAACUCGGCAAAAUGACCCCGUAACUUCGGGAGAAGGGGUGCUUUCUUAACGGAAAGCCGCAGUGAAUAGGCCCAAGCGACUGUUUAGCAAAAACACAG